RNAcentral lists this transfer RNA (77 nucleotides) under Cloacimonas sp. (SeqCode). Its description in RNAcentral is "tRNA-Met". It matches the Rfam family "tRNA". From Rfam's summary of the family: Transfer RNA (tRNA) molecules are approximately 80 nucleotides in length. Their secondary structure includes four short double-helical elements and three loops (D, anti-codon, and T loops). The record is from RNAcentral. Lineage: Bacteria; Pseudomonadati; Candidatus Cloacimonadota; Cloacimonadia (SeqCode); Cloacimonadales (SeqCode); Cloacimonadaceae (SeqCode).
GGCGGCGUAGCUCAGCUGGUUAGAGCGUCGGAAUCAUAAUCCGCAGGUCCGGGGUCCGAAUCCCUGCGCCGCUACCA